CUUAGGGUUGUAAAGCUCUUUUGUCCGGGACGAUAAUGACGGUACCGGAAGAAUAAGCCCCGGCUAACUUCGUGCCAGCAGCCGCGGUAA
RNAcentral lists this ribosomal RNA (90 nucleotides) under uncultured bacterium. Its description in RNAcentral is "partial 16S ribosomal RNA". It matches the Rfam family "Bacterial small subunit ribosomal RNA", at positions 416 to 523 of the family's 1533-position model. The record is from RNAcentral.